This 460-nucleotide ribosomal RNA is filed under the name uncultured bacterium. Its description in RNAcentral is "partial 16S ribosomal RNA". It matches the Rfam family "Bacterial small subunit ribosomal RNA", at positions 338 to 795 of the family's 1533-position model. The record is from RNAcentral.
CCUACGGGACGCAGCAGUGAGGAAUAUUGGUCAAUGGACGAGAGUCUGAACCAGCCAAGUAGCGUGAAGGAUGACUGCCCUAUGGGUUGUAAACUUCUUUUAUAUGGGAAUCAAACGUUCCACGUGUGGGAUUUUGUAUGUACCAUAUGAAUAAGGAUCGGCUAACUCCGUGCCAGCAGCCGCGGUAAUACGGCGGAUCCGAGCGUUAUCCGGAUUUAUUGGGUUUAAAGGGAGCGUAGGUGGAUUGUUAAGUCAGUUGUGAAAGUUUGCGGCUCAACCGUAAAAUUGCAGUUGAAACUGGCAGUCUUGAGUACAGUAGAGGUGGGCGGAAUUCGUGGUGUAGCGGUGAAAUGCUUAGAUAUCACGAAGAACUCCGAGUGCGAAGGCAGUUCACUGGACUGCAACUGACACUGAGGCUCGAAAGUGUGGGUAUCAAACAGGAUUAGAUACCCCUGUAGUC